Molecule: ribosomal RNA, 995 nt
Filed under: uncultured bacterium
Lineage: Bacteria
Description: bacterial SSU rRNA
Rfam family: Bacterial small subunit ribosomal RNA
Source: RNAcentral
UGUGCCAGCCGCCGCGGUAAUACGUAGGGUGCGAGCGUUAAUCGGAAUUACUGGGCGUAAAGCGUGCGCAGGCGGAUUGUUAAGCAAGACGUGAAAUCCCCGGGCUUAACCUGGGAAUGGCGUUUUGAACUGGCAGUCUAGAGUGUGUCAGAGGGGGGUGGAAUUCCACGUGUAGCAGUGAAAUGCGUAGAGAUGUGGAGGAACACCGAUGGCGAAGGCAGCCCCCUGGGAUAACACUGACGCUCAUGUACGAAAGCGUGGGUAGCAAACAGGAUUAGAUACCCUGGUAGUCCACGCCCUAAACGAUGUCAACUGGUUGUUGGGGGAGUGAAAUCCCUUAGUAACGAAGCUAACGCGUGAAGUUGACCGCCUGGGGAGUACGGUCGCAAGAUUAAAACUCAAAGGAAUUGACGGGGACCCGCACAAGCGGUGGAUGAUGUGGAUUAAUUCGAUGCAACGCGAAAAACCUUACCUACCCUUGACAUGUCCGGAAUCCUGCAGAGAUGCGGGAGUGCCCGAAAGGGAAUCGGAACACAGGUGCUGCAUGGCUGUCGUCAGCUCGUGUCGUGAGAUGUUGGGUUAAGUCCCGCAACGAGCGCAACCCUUAUCAUUAGUUGCUACGCAAGGGCACUCUAAUGAGACUGCCGGUGACAAACCGGAGGAAGGUGGGGAUGACGUCAAGUCCUCAUGGCCCUUAUGGGUAGGGCUUCACACGUCAUACAAUGGUCGGUACAGAGGGUUGCCAAGCCGCGAGGUGGAGCCAAUCCCAGAAAGCCGAUCGUAGUCCGGAUUGUUCUCUGCAACUCGAGAGCAUGAAGUCGGAAUCGCUAGUAAUCGCGGAUCAGCAUGUCGCGGUGAAUACGUUCCCGGGUCUUGUACACACCGCCCGUCACACCAUGGGAGUGGAAUCUGCCAGAAGUAGGUAGCCUAACCGCAAGGAGGGCGCUUACCACGGUGGGUUUCAUGACUGGGGUGAAGUCGUAACAAGGUAACCA